CACACGACUCCACACGACUCCCUGAACCCAAGUUGCUCCCGAUAGCAAGCCAGCGCCUUGCAUGGCAGUUCUGCUACCAUUGGUGUGUGUGUGAAUGAGAACCAGUGUAAAACGCUUUGUAGCACCGCAAAGGUAAAGAAAGAGCUAUAUAAGUGCAGACCAUUUACAUUUUGCACCUAGGAACCUCGAACAUUGUGCAAAAAAAACCCACCCUGACUCACUCAUGAUGACAAAGCAAAAAGAAGAAACAACACGGACAAGGAGAUGUCUUGUUUUCUUGAGGUGUAAUUUUCUACACUGUGGUGGACAUUUAAACACAGCUUGGUCUGAAAUACCCGAUACGAGUCGCCGUUAGAAACCUGAAAACAAAUGAACAUUCUUUCCUUAUGCCUCUUCCGGAACAUUCCCUGCUUUUUUGUCCUAAAUUUAAAUCAACUUAUUAUAGUUCACGGUGUCAGUGUUUCCUCUCAUCAUUAAACGCAGGAGCUCCAGAGAAGCUCUCGCUAAGACUUCUGGCAUCUUCCGCAUGGAAAAACGCUUCGUCUGCAUUUCAUCAGACCGCAGGAUGCUUUGCAGAGAUCGGACGUCAAACAGUCGUGAAGCCGCAUACCCGCGGGAGUCCCCACUGCGCUCCUGAGCUCAGGCUUCAAAACAUGCCAAGAAUUUCCACUAAAGCGUUUGAAGGCUGAACUUUGCUUUUACCACACGGGGCAAACCAAACCUCAGGAGCAGUAAACGCUAUGAUUCAGCUGGAAAUGUAAAGCCAGACCUCACCGCACGCACACACACACACACACACACACACACACACACACACACACAUAAUCUAUAUUACAGUGUACAGUAAGUGAAGUGUGUGUGCCAGCAUUCAUAUUAGUUACAAUGAAAUCCCUCUCAGAAUAACAACCACAGAAAAACCUUCAGCUCAACAAUUAGAUAUAGAAUUAAACAAAUCAAAUGGUACAGCUUUCCUUUAUGGCUUACGUUUGCAUUUGUAUCAAUAAAAUACAGUACAUGUGCAAUAAUUUCACUGGACACCACCAGGCAUCACUGGACACCAACAGACAACACUGGGCACCACUGGGCAUCAUUAGAAACCAACAGGCAAUAAUGGACACCAACAGGCAACACUGGGCAUCACUAGACACCAACAAACAACACUGGACACCAACAGGCAACACUGCACAUCACUGGACACCAACAGACAACACUGGACACCAACAGGCAACACCGCACAUCACUGGACACCAACAGGCAACACUGGGCACCACUGGACACCAACAGACAACACUGGACACCAACAGGCACCACUGGGCACCACUGGACACCAACAGACAACACUGGACACCAACAGGCAACACUGCACAUCACUGGACACCAACAGACAACACUGGACACCAACAGGCACCACUGGGCACCACUGGACACCAACAGACACCACUGGACACCAACAGGUAACACUGGACUCCAACAGACAACACUGGACACCAACAGACAACACUGGACACCAGCAGGCAUCACUGGACACCAGCAGGCAUCACUGGACACCAGCAGGCAACACUGGACACCACUGGACACCAACAGACAACACUGGACACCAGCAGGCAACACUGGACACCAACAGGCAACACUGGGCAUCACUGGACACCAACAGGCAUCAUUGGACACCAAGAGGCAACACUGGGCACCACUGGACACAAGCAGGCAUCACUGGACACCAACAGCAACACUGGGCACCAACAGGCAACACUGGGCAUCACUGCACACUAAUGGGCACCACUGGACAUCACCAGGCACCACCGGGAACCACCGCUCUGAUCCAUGGAAUGAUCCAUUUAUCCCCAGAAUCCACAAGAGCUUCACAAAGCAAGCACGGACAGAUGAGCAGAGGGCCGAGCCACGAGACGGCUCAGAACCAUAGCACCAAAAUCCCUGCCAUUGAUGCAAGUAACAGUACAACAGAAUAGAUCAGCUGCUGCACUCGAUCCAGGCAUACACGAAUUACACCCGGGGAAAUCUGCCGCUCACGCUCACCGUCAUGACCAGUAACCAGCGGACAAAAAAAAGGAAAGACAAAAGAAAAAGCCCCAACGAGAAGCAGAAGCAAAAACAUGUACAGUGUACUCUCAAGAAGCACGACAUUAACUUUUACUGCUGUCACGCCCACAGGGGACUGUAAUUAAACACUCACAGCACAAUUAAAUUUAAUACGAUAGAAAAUUGACGCAUUCCUGUAUCGUGCGGGUAGAGGCAGGACGCGAGUGCGUGUUUGGGCGAGUCCACAAAUCAACAUUGUAGUCCAUCGUGUAGGUCAAAGAACAGGAAGGGAACGAUGGAUUUGGAUGAUCUAAUGAAAGGCUUAACACAGAACAGGUGAACACAUUAGGGUAAUCAACCACUUUUUGGAAAUAUUAUGACAAUUUCGAACGUUCCUAACUACUGAAUUGAACUUUCCUAAGUUUUCCCUGCAGGUGCUGGCCCACCUGACACCUCGUCACCUUUCCUCACCGCACCUCUCCUUCCUUUCAUCACUCUCUUUUUACGAGCUGGAGGAAAUCUCUCUCCACAGCAUGGGACAACGACUGAAUCACCUGCCUUAAAAGUCACUGCUCCACACUUUCUCCAGUUUUACGAGCUGGAAAAGAUCCAGAAGCUCCACCACGCUUUCCACAGAAGGUCCCAGAAUCAGUUUAAUAGCAGAGAGACGGGGUUUCCAAAUGGAAUGAACUACCGCAGACCUCCUACUGGAAGAUAUAUGGCACACGUCUGCUACAGCCAUGAGAUCUCUGUUUGACACGAUAAAAUGAUUUCGAGCAUAAACCCGAAUCAUAACGAGAUUAACGGCGGGACUUUAAAUCACGAUUAAAACUAAAUCCAAGAUCUACAAUGUAAAGGAAACGAUCAUAUAAAUGAACUGGGAGCUAUCAUCUGGAUUAUCAGUUAACGUAUAAAUUAGCAUGUCAAUUAUUUCUACUUCGGUAAACAUCUAUAUCUAACACCUAUCCCCUUUAGGUUCUUAUAAUAACCAAAGUGAUACAUAAUUAAUAUUUAUUCAAAUAUUUAAUUAGUACACUACAGAUUCUGAUUCAAUUCAAUUCAGUUUUAUUUGUGUAGUGCUUUUUACAAAGGACGUUGUCUUAAAGCAGCUUUACAGAAAUAUAUAAACACAGGAUAGAGAUUGUAAGUGUGGAUGGAUGGAUGGAUGGAUGGAGUUUAUCCCUAUUGAGCGAGACGGUGGUGACGGUGGUGAGGAAAAACUCCCUGAGAUGAUAUGAGGAAGAAACCUUGAGAGGAACCGGACUCAGGAGGAAACCCGUCUUCGUCUGGGUAACGACGGAUAGUGUGAGAGUGAAAGAAAGUUCAUUAUGGUUUAUGAUUAAUCUGUAGCCACGCCCUGAUAGACUGAUUAAGCUGUAGUCUCGCCCUGACUGACUGUUUAAGAUGUCGUCACGCCCUGAUAACUGAUUAAGCUGUAGCCACGCCCUGAUAGACUGAUUAAUCUGUAGCCAUGCCCUGAUAGACUGAUUAAUCUGUAGCCACGCCCUGAUAGACUGAUUAAUCUGUAGCCACGCCCUGAUAGACUGAUUAAUCUGUAGCCACGCCCUGAUAGACUGAUUAAUCUGUAGCCACGCCCUGAUAGACUGAUUAAUCUGUAGCCACACCCUGAUAGACUGAUUAAUCUGUAGCCACGCCCCAAUAGACUGAUUAAGCUGUAGCCACACCCUGACAGACUGAUUCAUCUUUAGCCACGCCCUGAUGGACUGAUUAGGCUGUAGCCACGCCCUGAUGGACUGAUUAAGCUGUAGCACCGCCCUGAUGGACUGAUUAAGCUGUAGCGAUGCCCUGAUAGACUGAUUAAUCUGUAGCCACGCCCUGAUAGACUGAUUAAGCUGUAGCCACGCCUGACGGCCUGAUUCAUCUUUAGCCACGCCCUGAUGGACUGAUUAAUCUGUGGUCACAGUCUGAUGGACUGAUUAAGCUGUAGCCCCGCCCUGAUGGACUGAUUAAGCUGUAGCCCCGCCCUGAAGGACUGAUUAAGAUGUAGCCAUGCCCUGAUGGACUGAUUGGGCCACGCCCUGAUGAGCUACCUGAUAGGUGUCCCCAUCCUCAUGGGACAGCUGCCUGGCCGGUGACCCUGCCCUUCACCAACACACACAAAAUCAUUUCAAUCGUUUCAACCCCAAACCCCUCCUGGGAUAAGCAAUGAUGAUUAAAACAAAACUAAACUUCUGAAAGCCACUUCUGAAUCAGUCAUGACACACUCAGACACACACUCAGACAUACACACACACACACACACACACACACAGACACGCGAGCACGCUCCGGUCACGCCGUGUGUGUAAGCAGCAUGUUUUAAUAAUUACUCAGUGAAGUGAGACAUAGCCGAGACCCUGAGGUUCAUCAUCGUCUCCGUUCUUUCCCGGAUCUUUAAUUUCCUUUAAACACUUCUCCAGACUGCACAUAUGGCCUUUCAUUCACACGACGGAAUCAGGAUUGCUGAUCUGUGGGCAGAUUGUUAUCCAAAAAAAAAAAAAAAAAAGCUUUAACGGAUCCAGGAACAGCCGGCACGCUCCUAAACGCUUCGUUUGAUGAGCUGUCAUUAACGUGACCUUUUGGAUAAGUGCCUCGUCCAAGUUCAGUCGAGCUCGAGAGAAACGUGGCGCUUUUUUUUACAACGGUUUAGUUCCAAACCAGCAUCGAGAACUGAGAGAGAGAGAGAGAGAGAGAGAGAGAGAGAGAGAGAGACAGAGAGAGACAGAGAGAGAGACAGAGACAGAGACAGAGAGAGAGCAAGACAGAGAAAGAGAGAGAGACAGAGAGAGACAGAGAGAGAGAGACAGAGAGAGAGAGAGAGAGAGAAAGAGAGAGACAGAGAGAGAGCGAGAGAGAGAAAGAGAGAGAGAGACAGAGAAAGAGAGAGACAGAGAGAGCGAGAGAGAGAGCCAGAGAGAGAGAGAGAGAGAGAGAGA
Long non-coding RNA from Ictalurus punctatus (channel catfish), 4973 nucleotides. The record is from Ensembl. NCBI's taxonomy places the organism in Eukaryota, Metazoa, Chordata, Actinopteri, Siluriformes, Ictaluridae.